UACGGGAGGCAGCAGUGGGGAAUAUUGCACAAUGGGCGCAAGCCUGAUGCAGCCAUGCCGCGUGUAUGAAAAAGGCCUUCGGGUUGUAAAGUACUUUCAGUCGUGAGGAAGGUGUUAAGGUUAAUAACCUUAGCAAUUGACGUUAGCGACAGAAGAAGCACCGGCUAACUCCGUGCCAGCAGCCGCGGUAAUACGGAGGGUGCGAGCGUUAAUCGGAAUUACUGGGCGUAAAGGGCACGCAGGCGGUUAAUUAAGUUGGAUGUGAAAUCCCCGGGCUUAACCUGGGAAUGGCAUUCAAGACUGGUUAGCUAGAGUCUUGUAGAGGGGGUAGAAUUCCAUGUGUAGCGGUGAAAUGCGUAGAGAUGUGGAGGAAUACCGGUGGCGAAAGGCGGCCCCUGGACAAAGACUGACGCUCAUGUGCGAAAGCGUGGGGAGCAAAC
This 440-nucleotide ribosomal RNA is filed under the name uncultured bacterium. RNAcentral's name for it is "bacterial SSU rRNA". It matches the Rfam family "Bacterial small subunit ribosomal RNA", at positions 340 to 773 of the family's 1533-position model. The record is from RNAcentral.